Long non-coding RNA from Cynoglossus semilaevis (tongue sole), 95 nucleotides. RefSeq lists it as uncharacterized. The transcript has 3 exons. Lineage: Eukaryota; Metazoa; Chordata; Actinopteri; Pleuronectiformes; Cynoglossidae. The record is from RefSeq and is a predicted model, not a curated record.
ACGCCUAUCAGUUCAUGCUCCAAGACAGAGAAAACCAGUCGAUCCUGAUCACAGGAGAAUCCGGUGCUGGAAAGACUGUCAACACCAAACGUGUC